Mycena rebaudengoi is the source of this 96-nucleotide non-coding RNA. Lineage: Eukaryota; Fungi; Basidiomycota; Agaricomycetes; Agaricales; Mycenaceae. The record is from the annotation of a GenBank genome assembly.
GACCCAUUGGCGCAGAAGGCAGCGCGCCCACUCCAAAUGUAGGGUUUGUUUCCUAUUAUUGCGUGGGAGGUCCCAGUUCGAAUCCGGGAUCGGUUC